RNAcentral lists this transfer RNA (42 nucleotides) under Diadema setosum. Its description in RNAcentral is "partial tRNA-Lys". The record is from RNAcentral. Lineage: Eukaryota; Metazoa; Echinodermata; Echinoidea; Diadematoida; Diadematidae.
CUCUUAUUUUAAAAGAAAGUAGUUAAACUCUACUAUUAAGGA